RNAcentral lists this ribosomal RNA (449 nucleotides) under uncultured bacterium. RNAcentral's name for it is "partial 16S ribosomal RNA". It matches the Rfam family "Bacterial small subunit ribosomal RNA", at positions 28 to 523 of the family's 1533-position model. The record is from RNAcentral.
GACGAACGCUGGCGGCAUGCCUAACACAUGCAAGUCGAACGAAGCCUUCGGGCUUAGUGGCGCACGGGUGCGUAACGCGUGGGAAUCUGCCCUUGGGUUCGGAAUAACAGUUAGAAAUGACUGCUAAUACCGGAUGAUGUCUUCGGACCAAAGAUUUAUCGCCCAAGGAUGAGCCCGCGUAGGAUUAGGUAGUUGGUGGGGGAAUGGCCCACCAAGCCGACGAUCCUUAGCUGGUCUGAGAGGAUGAUCAGCCACACUGGGACUGAGACACGGCCGCGAAACGUACGGGAGGCAGCAGUGGGGAAUAUUGGACAAUGGGCGAAAGCCUGAUCCAGCAAGGCCGCGUGAGUGAUGAAGGCCUUAGGGUUGUAAAGCUCUUUUACCAGGGAUGAUAAUGACAGUACCUGGAGAAUAAGCUCCGGCUAACUCCGUGCCAGCAGCCGCCGUAA